Molecule: transfer RNA, 73 nt
Filed under: Enterobacter cloacae subsp. cloacae
Lineage: Bacteria; Pseudomonadati; Pseudomonadota; Gammaproteobacteria; Enterobacterales; Enterobacteriaceae
Description: tRNA-Gly
Rfam family: tRNA
About the family: Transfer RNA (tRNA) molecules are approximately 80 nucleotides in length. Their secondary structure includes four short double-helical elements and three loops (D, anti-codon, and T loops).
Source: RNAcentral
GCGGGAAUAGCUCAGUUGGUAGAGCACGACCUUGCCAAGGUCGGGGUCGCAUUCGAAAGUCUCGUUUCCCGCU